GCUGGCGGCGUGCCUAAUACAUGCAAGUCGAACGAACUCUGGUAUUGAUUGGUGCUUGCAUCAUGAUUUACAUUUGAGUGAGUGGCGAACUGGUGAGUAACACGUGGGAAACCUGCCCAGAAGCGGGGGAUAACACCUGGAAACAGAUGCUAAUACCGCAUAACAACUUGGACCGCAUGGUCCGAGUUUGAAAGAUGGCUUCGGCUAUCACUUUUGGAUGGUCCCGCGGCGUAUUAGCUAGAUGGUGGGGUAACGGCUCACCAUGGCAAUGAUACGUAGCCGACCUGAGAGGGUAAUCGGCCACAUUGGGACUGAGACACGGCCCAAACUCCUACGGGAGGCAGCAGUAGGGAAUCUUCCACAAUGGACGAAAGUCUGAUGGAGCAACGCCGCGUGAGUGAAGAAGGGUUUCGGCUCGUAAAACUCUGUUGUUAAAGAAGAACAUAUCUGAGAGUAACUGUUCAGGUAUUGACGGUAUUUAACCAGAAAGCCACGGCUAACUACGUGCCAGCAGCCGCGGUAAUACGUAGGUGGCAAGCGUUGUCCGGAUUUAUUGGGCGUAAAGCGAGCGCAGGCGGUUUUUUAAGUCUGAUGUGAAAGCCUUCGGCUCAACCGAAGAAGUGCAUCGGAAACUGGGAAACUUGAGUGCAGAAGAGGACAGUGGAACUCCAUGUGUAGCGGUGAAAUGCGUAGAUAUAUGGAAGAACACCAGUGGCGAAGGCGGCUGUCUGGUCUGUAACUGACGCUGAGGCUCGAAAGUAUGGGUAGCAAACAGGAUUAGAUACCCUGGUAGUCCAUACCGUAAACGAUGAAUGCUAAGUGUUGGAGGGUUUCCGCCCUUCAGUGCUGCAGCUAACGCAUUAAGCAUUCCGCCUGGGGAGUACGGCCGCAAGGCUGAAACUCAAAGGAAUUGACGGGGGCCCGCACAAGCGGUGGAGCAUGUGGUUUAAUUCGAAGCUACGCGAAGAACCUUACCAGGUCUUGACAUACUAUGCAAAUCUAAGAGAUUAGACGUUCCCUUCGGGGACAUGGAUACAGGUGGUGCAUGGUUGUCGUCAGCUCGUGUCGUGAGAUGUUGGGUUAAGUCCCGCAACGAGCGCAACCCUUAUUAUCAGUUGCCAGCAUUAAGUUGGGCACUCUGGUGAGACUGCCGGUGACAAACCGGAGGAAGGUGGGGAUGACGUCAAAUCAUCAUGCCCCUUAUGACCUGGGCUACACACGUGCUACAAUGGAUGGUACAACGAGUUGCGAACUCGCGAGAGUAAGCUAAUCUCUUAAAGCCAUUCUCAGUUCGGAUUGUAGGCUGCAACUCGCCUACAUGAAGUCGGAAUCGCUAGUAAUCGCGGAUCAGCAUGCCGCGGUGAAUACGUUCCCGGGCCUUGUACACACCGCCCGUCACACCAUGAGAGUUUGUAACACCCAAAGUCGGUGGGGUAACCUUUUAGGAACCAGCCGCCUAAGGUGGGAC
RNAcentral lists this ribosomal RNA (1468 nucleotides) under Lactiplantibacillus plantarum. RNAcentral describes it as "Lactobacillus plantarum 16S ribosomal RNA". It matches the Rfam family "Bacterial small subunit ribosomal RNA". Lineage: Bacteria; Bacillati; Bacillota; Bacilli; Lactobacillales; Lactobacillaceae. The record is from RNAcentral.